AAGUCGUAACAAGGUUUCCGUAGGUGAACCUGCGGAAGGAUCAUUCACAAUAAGAGUGUUUAUGGCACUCUUCAAAAAAUCCAUACCCACCUUGUGUGCAAUGUAAAAAGAGAGAGUGUGUAAAGAAGUCUUGACGAUGCAAGUCGUUUAUAGGCUUUUUUCUGCUUUCUUCUUUUCAAUUUUAAUAUACACUUUUCUAUAAUACGAUUGUCUGAAAUUGUUAGAGAAUUGACUAAAUUCUAAAACAUAACUUUCAACAACGGAUCUCUUGGCUCUC
This 277-nucleotide unclassified non-coding RNA is filed under the name Actinomortierella wolfii. RNAcentral's name for it is "Mortierella wolfii partial internal transcribed spacer region". The stretch from base 1 to 46 matches the Rfam family "Eukaryotic small subunit ribosomal RNA", at positions 1786 to 1831 of the family's 1831-position model. Lineage: Eukaryota; Fungi; Mortierellomycota; Mortierellomycetes; Mortierellales; Mortierellaceae. The record is from RNAcentral.